AUUUAUAUAGUUUAAAUAAAACAUUACAUUUUCACUGUAAAAAUAAAGACUUUUUCUUUUAUAGAUU
Molecule: transfer RNA, 67 nt
Filed under: Boreoheptagyia kurobebrevis
Lineage: Eukaryota; Metazoa; Arthropoda; Insecta; Diptera; Chironomidae
Description: tRNA-Glu
Rfam family: tRNA
About the family: Transfer RNA (tRNA) molecules are approximately 80 nucleotides in length. Their secondary structure includes four short double-helical elements and three loops (D, anti-codon, and T loops).
Source: RNAcentral